GUGCGUUGGAAAGUAAUCUGUUGCUUUUUCGUUGCUUCAUAGACAGAAUGAGGCGACUCAUGCAGCUGACCAAGAUGAACACCCUGAAGAUGGGUCUGUAAAGCAGAGUGAAGGAAAGGGUCCGGGACAGCUCAGGAAAGACAAGCCAAGGGGUACCAGGUCAAAAGGAAACUAUAUGGCUAUGCACUUAAAAGAUCAGAGUUUAACAGGUCUCCACCAACAGACAGCCAAAGACUUUUUACACGCACAUCUCUAUGGACCAGGCACCAACCGAACGAAUGCCAAUGAGUUUUUUUCCAUUGAAAAUAAGAAAAACCCUGUUAAAAAAGCUGCAGUUCAGUUUGUGGACAAAUCUUGGGGACUAGAAGAAAAGCAAAAAGCAACAAAGUUUAAGAAAUGCUGGCUCGCAACAAAGAUGAAAAGUCUGGUGUGAAAACAGCUUUUUCAGAAGGUGCUAUCAAGGACUUACUUACUUGUACUGAAAGUUAUCGUCUCAGCACGUGCAUAUAAGAAGAGAAUGAAUAUAUAUAUAAUAGCCUCCAGAACUCUCUUUACCUUUCAGCUGCAGACAACACAGGCACCAGAAGAGACUAACCUUCACAAAGCUGUGCUCAACUUGACUUUCAGAAGUUGCUGGGAUAGAUAGUUCAAGAAACAGCUGGGCUUUGGCAGUGACUGCAUAGCUUUAACACUCAUUUUUUUGAACAGCAGGUGUUACACAAGACCAGUUUGAUAUAGCUGGCCUCUACUGCUGGCAGAGAAUAAAGAUGAAUGAUUUUGUACACACUG
Struthio camelus australis is the source of this 789-nucleotide non-coding RNA. Lineage: Eukaryota; Metazoa; Chordata; Aves; Struthioniformes; Struthionidae. The record is from RefSeq and is a predicted model, not a curated record.